RNAcentral lists this ribosomal RNA (366 nucleotides) under uncultured bacterium. RNAcentral describes it as "bacterial SSU rRNA". It matches the Rfam family "Bacterial small subunit ribosomal RNA", at positions 8 to 376 of the family's 1533-position model. The record is from RNAcentral.
AGAGUUUGAUCCUGGCUCAGAUUGAACGCUGGCGGCAGGCUUAACACAUGCAAGUCGAGCGGGGAAGAGUAGCUUGCUACUUUACCUAGCGGCGGACGGGUGAGUAAUGCUUAGGAAUCUGCCUAUUAGUGGGGGACAACAUCUCGAAAGGGAUGCUAAUACCGCAUACGUCCUACGGGAGAAAGCAGGGGACCUUCGGGCCUUGCGCUAAUAGAUGAGCCUAAGUCGGAUUAGCUAGUUGGUGGGGUAAAGGCCUACCAAGGCGACGAUCUGUAGCGGGUCUGAGAGGAUGAUCCGCCACACUGGGACUGAGACACGGCCCAGACUCCUACGGGAGGCAGCAGUGGGGAAUAUUGGACAAUGGGG